ACAUGAGAAAUGUCCCACACCUCAACCCUUUUGAUGCCCCAUUUGGAUAAGAAUGAAGUGGUUUUUGAUUUGAAUUCAAAAUGAUUUGAAUUUGAACUGAUUCAAACCACUUCAUCCUUAUCCCUUUCCUCUCCAUGCCAUCUUUAAAUUAUCUCAAAAUUUUGUGUGACAAAGGUUAGGAAAUCAUCACAAAAAAUUAUUUUUCAAUAAGAGGGGGCAUGAAACAGAGAGGGGGUGGGCUUCUGUGCAUGAGAAAUAAAGGAAGAGUCCUUUUUCUUUGAGCGUGAGGUUUAGGGUGGGUUCUAGGGUUUCGACUCUAGUUUUUGUGUGAGAAAAAAUACAAAAGGGUCUUGUUCUUGUCUCUCACACCACCACCUCCUUGAGUAGCUCCAUCUUUUGAUCUAAAAGUAUCCAGGUGAUCCAAAGGAAGGAGCCUUUUUCAGUCAUUCAGUGCCUUCUGCGCGAGCUAGCACUCCCAGGAAGGAUGAUCCAUUCAGAGCUUCGAGUGGACUGUCUGU
Molecule: long non-coding RNA, 518 nt
Filed under: Elaeis guineensis (African oil palm)
Lineage: Eukaryota; Viridiplantae; Streptophyta; Magnoliopsida; Arecales; Arecaceae
Description: long non-coding RNA (EGUI_LNC070121)
Source: RNAcentral